GGACCCGCACAAGCAGUGGAGCAUGUGGUUUAAUUCGAAGAUACGCGCAGAACCUUACCAACACUUGACAUGUUCGUCGCGAGACCAAGAGAUUGGUUUCUUCAUUCAGUUGGACGAAACACAGGUGCUGCAUGGCUGUCGUCAGCUCGUGUCGUGAGAUGUUGGGUUAAGUCCCGCAACGAGCGCAACCCCCUACUUUUAGUUGCCACCAUUUAGUUGGGCACUUUAAAAGAACUGCCAGUGAUAAGCUGGAGGAAGGUGGGGAUGACGUCAAGUCCUCAUGGCCCUUACGUGUUGGGCUACACACGUGCUACAAUGAUACUUACAAUGGGAUGCAAAGAGGUGACUCCAAGCUAAUCCCAAAAAUGUAUCUCAGUUCGGAUUGUACUCUGUAACUCGAGUACAUGAAGCUGGAAUUGCUAGUAAUCGC
This 430-nucleotide ribosomal RNA is filed under the name uncultured bacterium. RNAcentral's name for it is "bacterial SSU rRNA". It matches the Rfam family "Bacterial small subunit ribosomal RNA", at positions 917 to 1345 of the family's 1533-position model. The record is from RNAcentral.